UAAAACAAAUUUUUAAUAAAUUUUUUAAACUAUUAAAAUUUUUACUUAUGAUUUUUUUAAAAAAUAGAUUUUUUUUUUUUUUAAUAAAAAAAUUUAUAUUAUUAUUAAUAUAUUUAUUUAUAAAUAUAUAUAUAUAUAUAUAUAUAAAUUUUUAUAUUAUUAUAAAAAUUAUAUAUAAUUAUAAAUUUUUUAUAAUUUCUUUCAAACUUUUUUCUAAUAAUUAUUUUUUAAUUAAAUUUGCUAUUAGAAUUUAUAUAAUUAAAAAAUUAUAUUAAAUUAUUAAGAUUAUAUAUAAAUAUAAAUUUUUAUAUUAAUAAUAAUAAUAAUAAUAUACAUAUAUAUAUAUAUAAAUUUUUAUAUUAUUAUAAAAAUUAUAUAUAAUUAUAAAUUUUUUAUAAUUUCUUUCAAACUUUUUUCUAAUAAUUAUUUUUUAAUUAAAUUUGCUAUUAGAAUUUAUAUAAUUAAAAAAUUAUAUUAAAUUAUUAAAAUUAUAUAUAAAUAUAAAUUUUUAUAUUAAUAUGAAAAUUAUAUAUAAUUAUAAAUUUUUUAAUUUUAUUAUUUAUUAAUUAAUUUAAUUUAAGUUUUUAUAAAACCGUAGUUUUAUUUUUUUUAUUAAAUAAAUAAAUAAAAAAUUAUAAUAAAAAACUUUUUUUUUAUUUAUUUUAAAAUAAAAUAGUUUUAACCUAUUUAUUAACCAUAAUUUUAUUUUUUUACAUAAAAUAAUUUUCAAACACA
This 735-nucleotide small RNA is filed under the name Corythoxestis sunosei. RNAcentral's name for it is "a putative control region". The record is from RNAcentral. Lineage: Eukaryota; Metazoa; Arthropoda; Insecta; Lepidoptera; Gracillariidae.